AGCUCCAAUAGCGUAUAUUAAAGUUGUUGCAGUUAAAAAGCUCGUAGUUGGAUUUCUGGUAUGGUGCACCUGGUCCGCCCCGUUACGGUGUGUGAGUACCGGCGCGCGCCUGCCAUCCUUCUGCAGAGCUAGUCUACCCUUCACUGGGCCGGGCUAGCGAUGUAGAUCGUUUACUUUGAAAAAAUUAGAGUGUUCCAAGCAGGCUUUAUGCCUUGAAUACAUUAGCAUGGAAUAAUAAGAUAGGGCUUUGGUUCUAUUUUGUUGGUUUCUAGGACUGAAGUAAUGAUUGAUAGGGAUAGUUGGGGGUGCUAGUAUUCAACGGCCAGAGGUGAAAUUCUUGGAUUCGUUGAAGACUAACUUAUGCGAAAGCAUUCACCAAGGAUGUCUUCU
This 390-nucleotide ribosomal RNA is filed under the name uncultured eukaryote. RNAcentral's name for it is "SSU rRNA". It matches the Rfam family "Eukaryotic small subunit ribosomal RNA", at positions 587 to 972 of the family's 1831-position model. The record is from RNAcentral.